AGACCCGAAACCCGGUGAUCUAGCCAUGGGCAGGUUGAAGGUUGGGUAACACUAACUGGAGGACCGAACCGACUAAUGUUGAAAAAUUAGCGGAUGACCUGUGGCUGGGGGUGAAAGGCCAAUCAAACCGGGAGAUAGCUGGUUCUCCCCGAAAGCUAUUUAGGUAGCGCCUCGUGAAUUCAUCUCCGGGGGUAGAGCACUGUUUCGGCUAGGGGGCCAUCCCGGCUUACCAACCCGAUGCAAACUGCGAAUACCGGAGAAUGUUAUCACGGGAGACACACGGCGGGUGCUAACGUCCGUCGUGAAGAGGGAAACAACCCAGACCGCCAGCUAAGGUCCCAAAGUCAUGGUUAAGUGGGAAACGAUGUGGGAAGGCCCAGACAGCCAGGAUGUUGGCUUAGAAGCAGCCAUCAUUUAAAGAAAGCGUAAUAGCUCACUGGUCGAGUCGGCCUGCGCGGAAGAUGUAACGGGGCUAAACCAUGCACCGAAGCUGCGGCAGCGACACUCAGGUGUUGUUGGGUAGGGGAGCGUUCUGUAAGCCUGUGAAGGUGUGUCGUGAGGCAUGCUGGAGGUAUCAGAAGUGCGAAUGCUGACAUAAGUAACGAUAAAGCGGGUGAAAAGCCCGCUCGCCGGAAGACCAAGGGUUCCUGUCCAACGUUAAUCGGGGCAGGGUGAGUCGACCCCUAAGGCGAGGCCGAAAGGCGUAGUCGAUGGGAAACGGGUUAAUAUUCCCGUACUUGGUGUUACUGCGAAGGGGGGACGGAGAAGGCUAUGUUGGCCGGGCGACGGUUGUCCCGGUUUAAGCGUGUAGGUGUGUGUUCCAGGUAAAUCCGGUUCACUUUAACACUGAGGCGUGAUGACGAGGCACUACGGUGCUGAAGCAACAAAUGCCCUGCUUCCAGGAAAAGCCUCUAAGCAUCAGGUAACAUCAAAUCGUACCCCAAACCGACACAGGUGGUCAGGUAGAGAAUACCAAGGCGCUUGAGAGAACUCGGGUGAAGGAACUAGGCAAAAUGGUGCCGUAACUUCGGGAGAAGGCACGCUGACACGUAGGUGAAGUGAUUUACUCAUGGAGCUGAAGUCAGUCGAAGAUACCAGCUGGCUGCAACUGUUUAUUAAAAACACAGCACUGUGCAAACACGAAAGUGGACGUAUACGGUGUGACGCCUGCCCGGUGCCGGAAGGUUAAUUGAUGGGGUCAGCGCAAGCGAAGCUCCUGAUCGAAGCCCCGGUAAACGGCGGCCGUAACUAUAACGGUCCUAAGGUAGCGAAAUUCCUUGUCGGGUAAGUUCCGACCUGCACGAAUGGCGUAAUGAUGGCCAGGCUGUCUCCACCCGAGACUCAGUGAAAUUGAACUCGCUGUGAAGAUGCAGUGUACCCGCGGCAAGACGGAAAGACCCCGUGAACCUUUACUAUAGCUUGACACUGAACAUUGAGCCUUGAUGUGUAGGAUAGGUGGGAGGCUUUGAAGCGUGGACGCCAGUCUGCGUGGAGCCGACCUUGAAAUACCACCCUUUAAUGUUUGAUGUUCUAACGUGGACCCGUGAUCCGGGUUGCGGACAGUGUCUGGUGGGUAGUUUGACUGGGGCGGUCUCCUCCUAAAGAGUAACGGAGGAGCACGAAGGUUGGCUAAUCCUGGUCGGACAUCAGGAGGUUAGUGCAAUGGCAUAAGCCAGCUUGACUGCGAGCGUGACGGCGCGAGCAGGUGCGAAAGCAGGUCAUAGUGAUCCGGUGGUUCUGAAUGGAAGGGCCAUCGCUCAACGGAUAAAAGGUACUCCGGGGAUAACAGGCUGAUACCGCCCAAGAGUUCAUAUCGACGGCGGUGUUUGGCACCUCGAUGUCGGCUCAUCACAUCCUGGGGCUGAAGUAGGUCCCAAGGGUAUGGCUGUUCGCCAUUUAAAGUGGUACGCGAGCUGGGUUUAGAACGUCGUGAGACAGUUCGGUCCCUAUCUGCCGUGGGCGCUGGAGAACUGAGGGGGGCUGCUCCUAGUACGAGAGGACCGGAGUGGACGCAUCACUGGUGUUCGGGUUGUCAUGCCAAUGGCACUGCCCGGUAGCUAAAUGCGGAAGAGAUAAGUGCUGAAAGCAUCUAAGCACGAAACUUGCCCCGAGAUGAGUUCUCCCUGAGACUUAG
Molecule: ribosomal RNA, 2134 nt
Filed under: Salmonella enterica
Lineage: Bacteria; Pseudomonadati; Pseudomonadota; Gammaproteobacteria; Enterobacterales; Enterobacteriaceae
Description: partial 23S ribosomal RNA
Rfam family: Bacterial large subunit ribosomal RNA
Source: RNAcentral